This 421-nucleotide ribosomal RNA is filed under the name uncultured bacterium. Its description in RNAcentral is "bacterial SSU rRNA". It matches the Rfam family "Bacterial small subunit ribosomal RNA", at positions 8 to 429 of the family's 1533-position model. The record is from RNAcentral.
AGAGUUUGAUCCUGGCUCAGAUUGAACGCUGGCGGAAUGCUUUACACAUGCAAGUCGAACGGCAGCACGGGAGCUUGCUCCUGGUGGCGAGUGGCGAACGGGUGAGUAAUGCGUCGGAACGUACCGAGUAAUGGGGGAUAACGCAGCGAAAGCUGUGCUAAUACCGCAUACGCCCUGAGGGGGAAAGUGGGGGAUCGCAAGACCUCACGUUAUUCGAGCGGCCGACGUCUGAUUAGCUAGUUGGUGGGGUAAUGGCCUACCAAGGCGACGAUCAGUAGCGGGUCUGAGAGGAUGAUCCGCCACACUGGAACUGAGACACGGUCCAGACUCCUACGGGAGGCAGCAGUGGGGAAUUUUGGACAAUGGGGGCAACCCUGAUCCAGCCAUUCCGCGUGAGUGAAGAAGGCCUUCGGGUUGUAAA